Molecule: ribosomal RNA, 253 nt
Filed under: uncultured bacterium
Lineage: Bacteria
Description: partial 16S ribosomal RNA
Rfam family: Bacterial small subunit ribosomal RNA
Source: RNAcentral
UACGAAGGGGGCUAGCGUUGCUCGGAAUUACUGGGCGUAAAGGGCGCGUAGGCGGCACUGUUAGUCAGGCGUGAAAGUCCUGGGCUCAACCUGGGAACUGCGCUUGAUACGGCAGAGCUAGAGGAUGGAAGAGGGUCGCGGAAUUCCCAGUGUAGAGGUGAAAUUCGUAGAUAUUGGGAAGAACACCGGUGGCGAAGGCGGCGACCUGGUCCAUUACUGACGCUGAGGCGCGACAGCGUGGGGGGCAAACAGG